GCGCUUGUAGCUUAAUGGAUAAAGCAAUAGGGUACGAACCUAUCGACUAAAAGUUCAAUUCUUUUCAAGCGUU
This 73-nucleotide transfer RNA is filed under the name Cyanoptyche gloeocystis. RNAcentral describes it as "tRNA-Arg". It matches the Rfam family "tRNA". Rfam says of the family: Transfer RNA (tRNA) molecules are approximately 80 nucleotides in length. Lineage: Eukaryota; Glaucocystophyceae. The record is from RNAcentral.